GCUGCUCGGAACUUUGCACACCUCUCCGUGGUGAGUAGCAGGCAACGAUCUUAUGGUCGGCGAAGAUGUGAGA
This 73-nucleotide ribozyme is filed under the name unclassified sequences. RNAcentral describes it as "HDV ribozyme from F. prausnitzii". It matches the Rfam family "HDV ribozyme from F. prausnitzii". The record is from RNAcentral.